Vigna radiata var. radiata (mung bean) is the source of this 2371-nucleotide RNA transcript. It is a transcript of the gene named bifunctional dihydrofolate reductase-thymidylate synthase, with no coding region annotated. The record is from RefSeq and is a predicted model, not a curated record. The transcript is spliced from 13 exons. Lineage: Eukaryota; Viridiplantae; Streptophyta; Magnoliopsida; Fabales; Fabaceae.
GGCCUAUCAGUCCGCUGUGACAGAUUUUUCUGAAAAAUCCAUUUCUCCGAAAGCGGUUUCUGUCAUCUUAUUCGCUUUUGCUGCUGCUUGUUGCUUCCAUUGCUCUCACCUUUUUUCUUCUUUAAAUCUUCAUUUUAUUAUCUCAUGACCUUAUUAUUCUUUCUGUUUGGAUUUACAUUGUUCUUGACUUCAAAAGUUUCGUGGACUUUUGCACCAACUUUUACUUAUUAGGUCAUUAUUCUUCCAAAAUUUCGCGCUUCGCCUUCACAUCGAUUCCGCUGCACUUCCAAAGGAGUUGGUUGUGCAGUUCUUGUUUUCAGAAACCAUCUUUAAGGUUCUGUCGGCGUUUGAGUUCUGUAAUGGCCAGUGAUUUUUCUGUCAUCUCCAAUGGAGACAGCAAUGGCAAUGUCAAUCCUCAACCUAAUCAGCAAAGGACAUACCAAGUGGUAGUGGCUGCCACCCAAGAUUGGGGCAUUGGCAAGGAUGGGAAGUUACCCUGGAGGUUGCCUACUGAUCUCAAAUUUUUUAAGGAGAUCACUGAGAAAACAUCUGAUCCUGGAAAGAAGAAUGCCAUUGUAAUGGGAAGGAAAACAUGGGAGAGUAUCCCUCUUCAGUACAGGCCUCUUUCUGGUCGCCUUAACGUUGUUCUUACUCGCUCAGGCAGCUUUGAUAUUGCAACGGCAGAGAAUGUUGUUAUAUGUGGAAGUAUUAAUUCUGCACUGGAACUAUUAGCUUCUUCUCCUUACUCUCUGUCAAUUGAAAAAGUAUUUGUUAUUGGAGGUGGUCAAAUAUUUAGAGAGGCUCUCAAUGCACCUGGAUGUGAAGCUAUCCACUUAACAGAAAUUCAGUCAAACAUUGAGUGCGACACUUUUAUGCCUUCAGUUGAUUUCACUAUAUUUCGGCCAUGGUACUCAUCCUUUCCUAAGAUGGAAAACAACAUACGCCAUUCUUUCAUCAGUUACGUGCGUGUAAGGAGUUCUCCUGUUGUGUCCCUGAAUCAGAAUAUUGAUCCAUUUAUUGAUAAGAAUUCUGAUUCCAUAAAAUUUGAGGUCAAGGAUUUUUCUUUUCUUCCUAAAAUGAUUUUUGAGAGACAUGAGGAGAAUAUGUAUCUUAAGCUGGUUCAAGACAUAAUUUCUGAAGGUACAAUAAAGGGUGAUAGGACAGGGACUGGUACCUUGUCAAAAUUUGGUAGCCAGAUGAGAUUCAAUUUGCGCAGAACCUUUCCUCUUCUAACAACUAAGAAAGUAUUUUGGCGAGGGGUUGUUGAAGAGCUUCUUUGGUUUAUCAGUGGCUCAACAAAUGCCAAGGUGCUACAGGAAAAAAACAUUCAUAUAUGGGAUGGCAAUGCAUCCAGAGAAUACCUUGAUGGUGUUGGUUUGACAGAGAGGGAGGAGGGUGACUUGGGACCUGUUUAUGGGUUUCAAUGGAGGCACUUUGGUGCCAGAUACACUGACAUGCAUGCUGACUACUCCGGCCAAGGGUUUGAUCAACUUUUGGAUGUUAUUAACAAGAUAAAGCAUAAUCCUGAUGAUCGGCGAAUCAUUCUCUCUGCAUGGAAUCCAGCUGAUAUUAAAUUAAUGGCACUUCCACCUUGCCACAUGUUUGCACAGUUUUAUGUAGCACAUGGGGAGUUAUCAUGUCAAAUGUAUCAGCGAUCUGCUGACAUGGGCCUGGGCGUUCCAUUUAAUAUUGCAUCUUAUGCCCUACUGACAUGCAUGAUUUCUCAUGUUUGUGAUCUAAUUCCAGGUGAUUUUAUCCAUGUUAUUGGGGAUUCACAUGUUUAUCGCAAUCAUGUGAGGCCUUUGCAGGAGCAGCUCCAUAACCUUCCAAAACCCUUUCCAACUUUGAAAAUAAAUCCAAAGAAGAAAGAUAUAGAUUCUUUUGUGGCUGCUGAUUUCAAGCUCACAGGCUAUGAUCCUCACCAGAAGAUUGAUAUGAAGCUGGCUGUCUAAAAGUGUGGGGUUUCUCACUUUCAGGCUGUUUCUGCUUUUUUAAUUGAGUAGUAGAACCAUGGUAGCAUGAUGCUGAGGUGGUCUGCAAGAUAGCUCUUAAUUUAUUGUCAACACCUUGUUGGCAAGCUAAAUGGCAGGCACAACGAUAGGAAGAUUAUGUUAAAAUUGUGUACUACUAAAGAUGAUCUCGUAGACACGUACUUAGUUCAUAUAUUUGUGGGAAUCGGUUGGGUCCAUGUGUUACGACUGUAAGGUGAUUUAGAUUAAUUUCAAUUUCCAUCCUUUCCAAUGUACACGCUCCAUUAUAAUUUUGAGGGAUCGAUUUCUCGAUGUUUUAGAUAAACAUUUUUCUGUUUUAAUAUUCGAACUUUUGGACAAGCAGCUUCAGUGCUAUUCAACAAGUUUUGUUUUUUUUUUUU